AGUGAGAAUGCCGGAAUGAGUAGCGAGAAUUAUGUGAGAAUCAUAAUGGCCGAAAGUCUAAGGUUUCCUGAGGAAGGUUCGUCCUCUCAGGGUUAGCCGGGAGCUAAGGUGAGGCGGAAACGCGUAGCCGAUGCACAUACGGUAGAAAUUCCGUAGCCUCCGAAGAUUUAAGCACAGGGACACUUUUGAAGGGCUGAGCCGGGCGUUGGUUGCCCCGGUCGAAAGGGACACGAUUGAGUGGAAGUCAGUUUGGAAAGAGGCGAGAAAAGCUGUGUGUAUAUGGAAGGAGCCCGUACCGCAAACCGACACAGGUAGACAGGAAGAAGAUUCUAAGGCCAGCGGGAGAAGGGUUGUUAAGGAACUCGGCAAGUUGACCCCGUAACUUCGGGAGAAGGGGUGCUUACGAAGGUAAGCCGCAGAGAAUAGGCCCAAGCGACUGUUUAGCAAAAACACAGCUCUAUGCUAAAUCGAAAGAUGACGUAUAUGGGGUGACACCUGCCCGGUGCUGGAAGGUUAAGAGGAGAUGUGAGAGCAUUGAAUUGAAGCCCCAGUAAACGGCGGCCGUAACUAUAACGGUCCUAAGGUAGCGAAAUUCCUUGUCAGGUAAGUUCUGACCCGCACGAAUGGCGUAAUGAUUUGGGCACUGUCUCAACAGCCCGCCCGGCGAAAUUGUAGUACUGGUGAAGAUGCCAGUUACCCGCAACUAGACGGAAAGACCCCAUGGAGCUUUACUGUAGCUUAAUACUGAGGAUUGGUAAUUGAUGUACAGGAUAGGUGGGAGACAUGGAAACAUUGGCGUCAGCCAGUGCGGAGUCACCCUUGGGAUACCACCCUUCAAUUGCUGGUUUUCUAACCUGCGGCCGUGAAUCCGGUCGGGGGACACUGUUAGGUGGGCAGUUUGACUGGGGCGGUCGCCUCCAAAAAGGUAACGGAGGCGCUCAAAGGUUCGUUCAGCACGGACGGAAAUCGUGCAGUGAGUGUAAACGCAGAAACGAGCCUAACUGCGACACCGACGGGUGGAGCAGUAACGAAAGUUGGAGUUAGUGAUCCGGCGGUAUGUGCGUGGAAAUGCCGUCGCUCAACGGAUAAAAGCUACCCUGGGGAUAACAGGCUGAUC
RNAcentral lists this ribosomal RNA (1117 nucleotides) under metagenome. Its description in RNAcentral is "bacterial LSU rRNA". It matches the Rfam family "Bacterial large subunit ribosomal RNA", at positions 1287 to 2487 of the family's 2925-position model. The record is from RNAcentral.